UUGCCUUAGUAACGGCGAGUGAAGCGGCAACAGCUCAAAUUUGAAAGCUGGCCCUUUUAGGGUCCGCAUUGUAAUUUGUAGAGGAUGAUUCGGCGAGGGCUCCUGCCUAAGUCCCCUGGAACGGGGCGUCAUAGAGGGUGAGAAUCCCGUAUGCGGUAGGUUGCCUUAGCCAUGUGAAUCUCCUUCGACGAGUCGAGUUGUUUGGGAAUGCAGCUCUAAAUGGGAGGUAAAUUUCUUCUAAAGCUAAAUACCGGCCAGAGACCGAUAGCGCACAAGUAGAGUGAUCGAAAGAUGAAAAGCACUUUGGAAAGAGAGUUAAAAAGUACGUGAAAUUGUUGAAAGGGAAGCGCUUGCAACCAGACUUGUCCGCAGUUGCUCAGCCGGUCUCCUGACCGGCGUACUCUUCUGCGGCCAGGCCAGCAUCAGUUCGGGCGGUCGGAUAAAGGCCUCGGGAAUGUGGCUCCUCUCGGGGAGUGUUAUAGCCCGGGGUGCAAUGCGGCCAGCCUGGACUGAGGAACUCGCUUCGGCAAGGAUGCUGGCGUAAUGGUUGUAAGCGGCCCGUCUUGAAACACGGACCAAGGAGUCUAACAUCUAUGCGAGUGUUCGGGUGUCAAACCCGUACGCGUAAUGAAAGUGAACGGAGGUGGGAACCCGCAAGGGUGCACCAUCGGCCGAUCCUGAUGUCUUCGGAUGGAUUUGAGCAAGAGCAUAGCUGUUGGGACCCGAAAGAUGGUGAACUAUGCCUGAAUAGGGUGAAGCCAGAGGAAACUCUGGUGGAGGCUCGCAGCGGUUCUGACGUGCAAAUCGAUCGUCAAAUUUGGGUAUAGGGGCGAAAGACUA
This 840-nucleotide ribosomal RNA is filed under the name Lasiodiplodia theobromae. Its description in RNAcentral is "eukaryotic LSU rRNA". It matches the Rfam family "Eukaryotic large subunit ribosomal RNA", at positions 75 to 933 of the family's 3401-position model. The record is from RNAcentral. Lineage: Eukaryota; Fungi; Ascomycota; Dothideomycetes; Botryosphaeriales; Botryosphaeriaceae.